CGUUAAGCAAAUCCCAGAAAUAACGUCCCAGUUCGGAUUGUAGUCUGCAACCCGACUACAUGAAGCUGGAAUCGCUAGUAAUCGCGAAUCAGAAUGUCGCGGUGAAUACGUUCCCGGGUCUUGUACACACCGCCCGUCACACCAUGGGAGUCGGAAAUGCCCGAAGUCAGUGACCCAACCGUAAGGAGGGAGCUGCCGAAGGUGGAGCCGGUAACUGGGGUGAAGUCGUAACAAGGUACC
This 240-nucleotide ribosomal RNA is filed under the name uncultured bacterium. Its description in RNAcentral is "partial 16S ribosomal RNA". It matches the Rfam family "Bacterial small subunit ribosomal RNA", at positions 1261 to 1500 of the family's 1533-position model. The record is from RNAcentral.